UGGGGAAUAUUGGACAAUGGGCGCAAGCCUGAUCCAGCCAUGCCGCGUGAGUGAUGAAGGCCUUAGGGUUGUAAAGCUCUUUCGCCGGUGAAGAUAAUGACGGUAACCGGAGAAGAAGCCCCGGCUAACUUCGUGCCAGCAGCCGCGGUAAUACGAAGGGGGCUAGCGUUGCCCGGAAUCACUGGGCGUAAAGCGCACGUAGGCGGAUCGUUAAGUCAGGGGUGAAAUCCUGGAGCUCAACUCCAGAACUGCCCUUGAUACUGGCGAUCUCGAGUUCGAGAGAGGUUGGUGGAACUCCGAGUGUAGAGGUGAAAAUUCGUAGAUAUUCGGAAGAACACCAGUGGCGAAGGCGGCCAACUGGCUCGAUACUGACGCUGAGGUGCGAAAGCGUGGGGAGCAAAACAGGAUUAGAUACCCUGGUAGUCCACGCCGUAAAACGAUGGAUGCUAGCCGUUGGGGGGUUUACCUCUCAGUGGCGCAGCUAACGCCUUAAGCAUCCCGCCUGGGGAGUACGGUCGCAAGAUUAAAAACUCAAAGGAAUUGACGGGGGUCAUAGCUGUUUCCU
Molecule: ribosomal RNA, 565 nt
Filed under: uncultured bacterium
Lineage: Bacteria
Description: partial 16S ribosomal RNA
Rfam family: Bacterial small subunit ribosomal RNA
Source: RNAcentral